UACGUAGGGACCGAGCGUUGUCCGGAAUCAUUGGGCGUAAAGAGCGUGUAGGCGGCCCCUUAAGUCCUGCGUGAAAUCCUGCGGCUCAACCGCAGACGGUCGUGGGAAACUGGAGGGCUAGAGUGCGGGAGAGGAGAGUGGAAUUCCUGGUGUAGCGGUGAAAUGCGCAGAUAUCAGGAAGAACACCCGUGGCGAAGGCGGCUCUCUGGAACGCAACUGACGCUGAGACGCGAAAGCGUGGGGAGCAAACAGG
This 253-nucleotide ribosomal RNA is filed under the name uncultured bacterium. RNAcentral describes it as "partial 16S ribosomal RNA". It matches the Rfam family "Bacterial small subunit ribosomal RNA", at positions 524 to 776 of the family's 1533-position model. The record is from RNAcentral.